GCAGCUGGUGGGAAGGGCCUCGGAAUCGAGCAGACGGCGCCUGCGCUGCAGAUAUUGGCCGAAGCCGCCGAGUGUGUUUGGUGGUUAUUCUGUGUCUCGGUGCAAUGGAGCUUAGUUUUGCCGGUAAACGUGCCCUGGUAACGGGCGCUGGUAAAGGUAUCGGUAGAGCCACUGCAAAGGCCCUGCUAGCAUGUGGUGCAGAAGUUAUUGCAGUAACCAGGACACAAUCUGAUUUGGACAGCCUUGUUCAGGAGUGUCCCAAUGUGCUGACAAUCUGUGUGGACUUGAGUAACUGGGAAGCCACAGAAAAUGCACUGAAAGAUGUAGGUCCGGUAGAUCUUUUGGUGAACAAUGCUGCGGUUGGCAUUUCGGAACCAUUCCUCGAAGUUACCCAGGAAGCAUUUGAUAAGAUGUUUAAUGUUAAUGUGAAAGCUGUGUUGCAUGUUUCACAGUUUUUUCUCCCCCAAGAUAAUUGCAAAAGGAAUGAAAUGCCGUGGGUCAGGUGGUUCCAUAGUGAACAUUUCCAGCCAGGCAUCCCAGUGUGCACUGAAAGAUCACACUGUAUACUGUGCCUCGAAAGGAGCUGUCGAUAUGCUAACAAAAGUGAUGGCACUGGAGCUGGGACCACACAAGAUAAGAGUGAAUGCCGUGAACCCCACAGUGGUGAUGACUGCAAUGGGUCGGGCUGGAUGGAGUGAUCCAGUAAAAGCAGCAGGAAUGUUGUCUCGCAUCCCAAUGGGCAAGUUUGCAGAACUUGAAGAUGUAGUGAAUGCAAUAAUCUUCCUCCUCAGUGACAAAAGUGCAAUGAUAAAUGGAGUGACUCUGCCUGUGGAUGGAGGAUUUCUAGCUUCAUAAAACAAUUCUUGGGUUAAUUAUGGGUUCAUAAAAGGAAAAUUCUGUUUAA
Mobula hypostoma (lesser devil ray) is the source of this 904-nucleotide RNA transcript. It is a transcript of the gene named L-xylulose reductase-like, with no coding region annotated. Lineage: Eukaryota; Metazoa; Chordata; Chondrichthyes; Myliobatiformes; Myliobatidae. The transcript is spliced from 8 exons. The record is from RefSeq and is a predicted model, not a curated record.